GCGUGCCGAUGAUGAUUAAAAGAGCUAACAAUGGUGAAUUCGAUGAAUGUGCUUGCGUGCCGCUGGGUGCGCAGCUAUGGUCAGGGUUUCACUUAUCGCAUGAUAAUCGCGC
Oryza rufipogon (brownbeard rice) is the source of this 112-nucleotide small nucleolar RNA. It matches the Rfam family "Small nucleolar RNA Z188". Rfam says of the family: Z188 is a member of the C/D class of snoRNA which contain the C (UGAUGA) and D (CUGA) box motifs. Most of the members of the box C/D family function in directing site-specific 2'-O-methylation of substrate RNAs. Lineage: Eukaryota; Viridiplantae; Streptophyta; Magnoliopsida; Poales; Poaceae. The record is from Rfam.